UACGUAGGCAGCAAGCGUUGUUCGGAAUUACUGGGCGUAAAGCGUGCGCAGGCGGCUUUGCAAGACAGAUGUGAAAUCCCCGGGCUUAACCUGGGAACUGCAUUUGUGACUGCAUGGCUGGAGUGCGGCAGAGGGGGAUGGAAUUCCGCGUGUAGCAGUGAAAUGCGUAGAUAUGCGGAGGAACACCGAUGGCGAAGGCAAUCCCCUGGGCCUGCACUGACGCUCAUGCACGAAAGCGUGGGGAGCAAACAGG
This 253-nucleotide ribosomal RNA is filed under the name uncultured bacterium. RNAcentral describes it as "partial 16S ribosomal RNA". It matches the Rfam family "Bacterial small subunit ribosomal RNA", at positions 524 to 776 of the family's 1533-position model. The record is from RNAcentral.